Molecule: ribosomal RNA, 460 nt
Filed under: uncultured bacterium
Lineage: Bacteria
Description: bacterial SSU rRNA
Rfam family: Bacterial small subunit ribosomal RNA
Source: RNAcentral
GUACGGGAGGCAGCAGUGGGGAAUUUUGGACAAUGGGGGAAACCCUGAUCCAGCAAUGCCGCGUGUGCGAAGAAGGCCUUCGGGUUGUAAAGCACUUUUGUCAGGGAAGAAAUCCUUUGGGCUAAUACCCUAGGGGGAUGACGGUACCUGAAGAAUAAGCACCGGCUAACUACGUGCCAGCAGCCGCGGUAAUACGUAGGGUGCGAGCGUUAAUCGGAAUUACUGGGCGUAAAGCGUGCGCAGGCGGUUGUGUAAGACAGGUGUGAAAUCCCCGGGCUUAACCUGGGAAUUGCAUUUGUGACUGCACGACUAGAGUGUGUCAGAGGGGGGUGGAAUUCCACGUGUAGCAGUGAAAUGCGUAGAUAUGUGGAGGAACACCAAUGGCGAAGGCAGCCCCCUGGGAUAACACUGACGCUCAUGCACGAAAGCGUGGGGAGCAAACAGGAUUAGAUACCCUGGU